CGUUGCGCGUGGUCGGCCAGGAUGGCGGCGGUAGCAGCGUCGGCCACGUCGCCGCGCUGCUGGCGGUGACCGUGGCGUUCUUUGCGCUGGCGCACCGUC
This 99-nucleotide transfer RNA is filed under the name Xanthomonas sp. SS. RNAcentral describes it as "tRNA-Thr". Lineage: Bacteria; Pseudomonadati; Pseudomonadota; Gammaproteobacteria; Lysobacterales; Lysobacteraceae. The record is from RNAcentral.